GGGUGGGAAAUAUCUUGAGAAAGAAGCGGGCCAGGACUUGAACCAGUGAACCCAAACUCUAGAGGAGGAAAUGUUCAUCGCAGUUCGCUAACUUCACCAUCGCUGACAUUGAAGACCUCCUUACUUUUCCUCCCUGAGUUCCUUUAACGGUCGAUCUCUCAUCGUUAUUCCUUCGCUCCUCAAUCUGUUUGGCAUUCUUCUUUUUAAGCGUCAAUGCUGCUAUCAGUACUGCGUCUCGCCCUUGUCUGAAGAAUUUCUUCUCGUCUAUGGCGGAUAGGAAGAGUUAUCCCUCUCUUCCUUCGAACUACGUGAGUCUCGUUCAGCUUCAGGAGCGGUGGCUCCAGGCGAAGGAGAGGGAGCAGCGAGAGAAAGAGGAAGAGGAAAAACGAGCGGAGCGCAGGCGCGAGCAGGAGAGACUCAGAGAAGAGCGGGAGAGUCGGAGACUGGAGAAGGAUGAUGAUCAUGAAGCGAGUACAGAAAUUCAAUCGAGGUCUGUUCGUCGUCGGCCAUUUCAAAGGAAAGACUGGAGACGGAUUGGACCGAGAAAUGAUCGCCGGGCGGCAGAAGGGAGGUACGGGAAAUCGGAGGAGAGAGGAGUGGGGACUGAGGCAGUUGUCCAAGGGAGCGAUCGCGAGGAGAGACUCAGAGAAGAGCGGGGGAAUCAUAAUCUAAAGAAGGAUGAUAAUGGUGGUGUUGGUGCUGCUGCUGAAGCGAGUACCGAAUCUCAAUCGAGUUCUGUUUGUAGCUGGCCAUACGGCCGUGAACGGAUGGCACCAACAAAUGAUCAACGGAUGGUCGAAGUGAGGUAUGAGAAAUCGGAGGAGAAAGGAGUAGGGCCUGAGGCUGUUCUCGAAGGAGAGGGUACCGGUGAGAGCAAAGAAUCGAAGAAGAAGAUGAAGGAAAGAGGAAGAAAGAAGAACUGGAAGACAUUGCGUAGAACAGAUGAUGAAGGGGCUGGUGGUAGGGCGCAUUUGAUACCGAAAGGUGAGCUGGAGGAGAGAAUUCCAGUGACGGUGACUGCAGAAAAGGAAGAAAUGAAGACAAUCAAAAGACAAAUCCGGCAAGAGAGCGAAAAUUCAGAGGCAGGCGGCAAGGUUCUGGGGGAGAAAGCGCGGGUCCAUCGGGUGGCGGCGAUUGAACCAAAAUUUGAUAGUCUUUCGAUGAAUGAUGGCUAUAAAAGAGGCAAUCGUGGAUCGAUGAUGAAUAUAGAUAGUCGUCGUUGGAUGGACCAGGGUCAUGGAAGGAUCAGCCGCUCGGAAGUGCAGAAACCGAGACUCUCUGUUCGAGUCUGGGUUAGAAAAGGCGAGAGCAGUUCUGAUGGCAAUGUCUCUUGAAGACAGUCCUCGAGCGGCUAUGGCUGGCAUGAUUAAGGCAUUGUUCAUCAAGUAUCAGCACCACGUACUCCUGAGCAAAUUGGUAUGGUUGAACGACGCCAUAGGACUAUAAUAGAAUUAGAUGUAGAUUAGGCAGGGUGUCCUACCACAAGACCCUCAACCACAGGCUACUGUACAUUCCUUGGAGGGAAUCUCAUUUCAUGGUGCGCCAAAAAAAAAACAUACUAUUUCAUGUUCCAGCACAGAGGUUGAGUAUCGUGCCAUAGCUAACACUGCAACCGAACUCACUUGGCUCACCUUUCUCCUCCAAGACCUUCACAUUUCAGUAACGUCUCCUCCCACACUCUACUAUGACAACCUCAGUGCCCUUCACAUGACAGUUAAUCCUGUUUUCCAUGCUCGCAGCAAAUAUAUUGAGUGUGAUUACCAUUUUGUGUGCGAACGAGUUGCACGUGGAUUACUUAUCACUCAACAUAUCUCUACUCAUGACCAGGAUGCAGAUCUCUUUACAAAGCCUAUGUCAAAAUCCCUAUGUCAAAAUCAACACUUCAUUAUUUUCGCAACAAACUCUACCUCCAACCCUAGCAUAGUUUGUGGGAGGGUGUUAGCAAUUUGUCACAGCUCAGUUCACUGCUCAGCACUCUCAAUACAACAACUAAUCUAGCCAAAAUCAGUGGAGACGUUGAGUGAUACUAGAGUUCCAACGUCAAUAAAUUCAAACCACAGUGCUACCUCAACAACUCCUACAAAUCAGGGAAAUUCAAAUAAGCAUGGCAAUAUAUUUAAAUUCACACCAAAGAUGGAAGAUUCAAAUCAGCUUGAAGAUUACUCUAACGGCAAUAAAAUCAAACCAAAAAAGGAAGAUUCACGUCAACACGAAGAUCUGUCGAUAUCUUGACACGAAACCGUCGACGGAUACAUCGCUAGUUUCAGACAGAGACUACUUCAGAAGGAAACCAUCGAUUUUACGUUGACGGUUACAUCGCUGGUUUCAGACAGAGGCUAAAAUCAGAAAACUCAUCAACGGUUCAUCGAAUAGUCAACGGUUUUGCCUGAAACCGUCGACGAUUUGACUGUUGCUGAUUUAGCCUCAGCCGAGGAUCAUCUUGCUUUGAAUAUUUUGAGAUCCGAUGCCAAGCACGAAGUCUGAGGAGAAUACAUGCUAGUCAUAAUAUCUUCUUUAUUUACAACCUUACCAUGUAACUCUAUUUAAAGAGCCACUCCUUGUAUAGUCUUGUGUUCACGUAGCCAUCCUUUGAAAUAAGAUAUAUUAUUUUUUA
RNA transcript from Malania oleifera, 2614 nucleotides. RefSeq lists it as uncharacterized. The record is from RefSeq and is a predicted model, not a curated record. Lineage: Eukaryota; Viridiplantae; Streptophyta; Magnoliopsida; Santalales; Ximeniaceae. The transcript is spliced from 3 exons.